This 363-nucleotide ribosomal RNA is filed under the name uncultured bacterium. RNAcentral describes it as "bacterial SSU rRNA". It matches the Rfam family "Bacterial small subunit ribosomal RNA", at positions 30 to 404 of the family's 1533-position model. The record is from RNAcentral.
AUUGAACGCUGGCGGCAGGCCUAACACAUGCAAGUCGAGCGGGGUUUUCGGACCUAGCGGCGGACGGGUGAGUAAUGCGUAGGAAGCUACCCGAUAGAGGGGGAUACCAGUUGGAAACGACUGUUAAUACCGCAUAAUGUCUACGGACCAAAGUGUGGGACCUUCGGGCCACAUGCUAUCGGAUGCGCCUACGUGGGAUUAGCUAGUUGGUGAGGUAAUGGCUCACCAAGGCGACGAUCUCUAGCUGGUUUGAGAGGAUGAUCAGUCACACUGGAACUGAGACACGGUCCAGACUCCUACGGGAGGCAGCAGUGGGGAAUUUUGGUACAAUGGACGCAAGUCUGAUCCAGCCAUUCCGCGUGC